CAAUAUCACCACCAACCCUGGUUACAAUAUCACCACCAACCCUGGUUACAAUAUCACCACCAGCCCUGGUUACAAUAUCACCACCAACCCUGGUUACAAUAUCACCACCAGCCCUGGUUACAAUAUCACCACCAACCCUGGUUACAAUAUCACCAGCCCUGGUUACAAUAUCACCACCCUGGUUACAAUAUCACCACCAGCCAUGGUUACAAUAUCACCAACCCUGGUUACAAUAUCACCACCAACCCUGGUUACAAUAUCACCACCAGCCCUGGUUACAAUAUCACCACCAGCCCUGGUUACAAUAUCACCACCAACCUUGGUUCAAUCCUAGUGGAAAAUUCUGUUAGUAUGACCACAACAUGAUGAACCCUUAUUCAACGUUGGGUCAACCUUGGGUCAACCCUGGUUCUGUUAGAAUAACCACAAUAUGACCAACGGGGUAGGAGCGUUGGGCCAGUAACCGAAAGGUUGCUAGAUCGAACCCCCGAGCUGACAAGGUACAAAUCUGUCGUUCUGCCCCAGAGCAAGGCAGUUAACCCACUGUUCCCCGGGCCCUGAGCAAGGCAGUUAACCCACUGUUCCCCGGGCCCUGAGCAAGGCAGUUAACUCACUGUUCCCCGGGCCCUGAGCAAGGCAGUUAACCCACUGUUCCCCGGGCCCUGAGCAAGGCAGUUAACCCACUGUUCCCCGGGCCCUGAGCAAGGCAGUUAACCCACUGUUCCCCGGGCCCUGAGCAAGGCAGUUAACCCACUGUUCCCCGGGCCCUGAGCAAGGCAGUUAACCCACUGUUCCCCGGGCGCCGUUGAUGUGGAUGUCAAUUGUAAGGCAGCCCCCCCCCACCCCACCUCUCUGAUUCAGAGGGUUAAAUGUGGAAGACACAUUUCAGUUGAAUGAAUUCAGUUCGACAACUGACUAGGUAUCCCCUUCCUGGUUCUGUUAGUAUGACCAACCCUAGUUCUGUUAGUAUGAUCAACCCUGGUUCUGUUAGUAUGACCAACCCUGGUUCUGUUUGUAUGCCUAACCUUGUUCUGUUAUGACGACCAGCUCAGGUUCUGUUAUGACGACCAACCCUGGUUCUGUUAGUAUGACCAAACCUGGUUCUGUUAUGACGACCAACCCUGGUUCUGUUAUGACGACCAGCUCAGGUUCUGUUAUGACGACCAGCUCAGGUUCUGUUAUGACGACCAGCUCAGGUUGACCACAUGACGACCCCUGUGUUCCUCCUCCUCAUCACCUCCAUGUGUUCUCAGUAAAUCCCAGCCAAUUAGAACAGUCCAGAUGUGUGGUAUUGGGGUAGACCACAGGCUCUCACUACCACAUGACACCCUGCAGACCUAUACAACUAUGCUAACAUCAAAUCACUUCCUAGGCUUGUUAAAUAUCUAAAUAUUCGAUCAUCUCGAAGGCAUUCAAAAAAAGGGAAUUUUGAUUCUCUUAGGAGAAUUUCAAGUUCAAGCAAACAUUUGCUAGUUUUUUGUUCCUAUUUCUUACUUUAAUACAACAUGCUGACUGUUUGGGUAAAAUUAUACCAUUGUAUGAAACCUGGACAGGUGCCUGCUAACAACAGAAGGUACAGGACAGAUACAGUGAGCUCCAAAAGUGUUGGGACAGUGAUGUCGUUUUGGCUCUGUGCUCCAGGACUUUGGAUUUGAAAUGAUACAAUGACUAUGAUGUUAAAGUACAGACUAUCAGCUUUAAUUUGAGUUUAUUGUCAUCCAUAUUGGUUGAAUCUUUUAGCAAUUAGUGCACUUUUUGUACAUAGUCAAAACACACAUCACGACGAGAAACAACACAACACUACAUAAAGAGAAACCCAAGACAACCACAUAGCAUGGCAGCAACAAAUAACACAGCAUGGUAGCAACACAAAACAUGGUACAAACAUUAUUGGACACAUACAACAGCACAAAGGGCAAGAAGGUAGAGACAACAAUACAUCGCGCGAAGCAGCCACAACUGUCAGUAAGAGGGUCCAUGGUUUCUUUGAAUUAAGUCUUUGAAUGAAGAGAUUGAGAUAAAACUGUCCAGUUUGAGUGUUUGUUGCAGCUCGUUAAAGUUGCUAGCUGCAGCAAACUGAAAAGAGGUGCGACCCAGGGAUGUGUGUGUUUUGGGGACCUUUAACAGAAUGUGACUGGCAGAACGGGUGUUGUAUGUGGAGGAUGAGGGCUGGUAGUAGGCAUCUCAGAUAGGGGGGAGUGAGGCCUAACAGGGUUUUAUAAAUAAGCAUCAACCAGUGGGUCUUGCAACGGGUAUACAGAGAUGACCAGUUUACUUGACAAACACUUGGCAAUGAUGAGUGAGAAAGUUAGAGGCAUAAAAAGAAUACCCACAAAAAAUGCUAACCUCCCCUGUUAUUGUAAUGGUGAGAGGUUAGCAUGUCUUGGGGGUAUGAUAUAAAAUGCUAACCUCCCCUGUUAUUGUAAUGGUGAGAGGUUAGCAUGUCUUGGGGGUAUGAUAUAAAAUGCUAACCUCCCCUGUUAUUGUAAUGGUGAGAGGUUAGCAUGUCUUGGGGGUAUGAUAUAAAAUGCUAACCUCCCCUGUUAUUAUAAUGGUGAGAGGUUAGCAUGUCUUGGGGGUAUGGUAUAAAAUGCUAACCUCCCCUGUUAUUGUAAUGGUGAGAGGUUAGCAUGUCUUGGGGGUAUGAUAUAAAAUGCUAACCUCCCCUGUUAUUGUAAUGGUGAGAGGUUAGCAUGUCUUGGGGGUAUGAUAUAAAAUGCUAACCUCCCCUGUUGUUGUAAUGGUGAGAGGUUAGCAUAUCUUGGGGGUAUGAUAUUUGUACGUCUGUAACUUUCUUACUCCUCAUGAAUCACGAUUCUAUCAGGAUUAUUCGUUAUCAUGGUAUCGUCCACAUUAACGUAGGCGUUUAGAAACAUAUUCUAUUCUUCUUUACAAUAAAAGUUACUCCAAAAUAACACAAUACAUUAUUUACCAUUAAUUUCUACAGUCUGCACUUUAACCUCAUAGUCAUUGUAUCAUUUCAAAUCCAAACUGCUGGAGUACAGAGCCAAAACAACGAAACGUGUCACUGUCCCAAUACUUUUGGAGCUCACUGUAGAUAAUCCAUAAGGCCAGCAUCCCGGAGUCGCCUCUUCACUGUUGACGUUGAGACUGGUGUUUUGCGGGUCCUAUUUAAUGAAGCUGUCAGUUGAGGACUUGUGAGGCGUCUGUUUCUCAAACUAGACACUCUAAUGUACUGGUCCUCUUGCUCAGUUGUGCACCGGGGCCUCCCACUCCUCUUUCUAUUCUGGUUAGAGCCAGUUUGCGCUGUGCUGUGACGGGAGUAGUACACAGCGUUGUACGAGAUCUUCAGUUUCUUGGCAAUUUCUCGCCUUCAUUUCUCAGAACAAGAGUAGACUGAUGAGUUUCAGAAGAAAGGACUUUGUUUCUGGCCAUUUUGAGCCUGUAAUUGAACCCACAAAUGCUGAUGCUCUAGAUACUCAACUAGUCUAAAGAAGGACAGUUUUAUUGCUUCUUUAAUCAAAACAACAGAUUUCAGCCGUGCUACUGUAACAUAAUUGCAAAAGGGUUUUCUAAUGAUCAAUUAACCUUUUAAAAUGAUAAACUUGGAUUAGCUAACACAACGUGCCAUUGGAACACAGGAGUGAUGGUUGCUGAUAAUGGGCCUCUGUACGCCUAUGUAGAUAUUACAUUUUUUUUUAAAUCUGCCGUUUCCAGAUACAAUAGUCAUUUACGACAUUAACAAUUUCUGCACUGUAUUUCUGAUCAAUUUGAUGUUAUUUUAAUGGGCACAUUUUUUUGCUUUUCUUUCAAAAACAAGGACAUUUCUAAGUGACCCCAAAACUAUUGAACGGUAGUGUAUAUAACAACAGGAGUUAAAGGAGAGGUGUCUGAUAACAAUAGAAGAUACAGGACAGAUAUAUAACAGGAGUUAAAGGAGAGGUGUCUGAUAACAAUAGAAGGUACAGGACAGAUAUAUAACAGGAGUUAAAGGAGAGGUGUCUGAUAACAAUAGAAGAUACAGGACAGAUAUAUAACAGGAGUUAAAGGAGAGGUGUCUGAUAACAAUAGAAGGUACAGGACAGAUAUAUAACAGGAGUUAAAGGAGAGGUGUCUGAUAACAAUAGAAGAUACAGGACAGAUAUAUAACAGGAGUUAAAGGAGAGGUGUCUGAUAACAAUAGAAGAUACAGGACAGAUAUAUAACAGGAGUUAAAGGAGAGGUGUCUGAUAACAAUAGAAGGUACAGGACAGAUAUAUAACAGGAGUUAAAGGAGAGGUGUCUGAUAACAAUAGAAGAUACAGGACAGAUAUAUAACAGGAGUUAAAGGAGAG
Molecule: long non-coding RNA, 4295 nt
Filed under: Salmo salar (Atlantic salmon)
Lineage: Eukaryota; Metazoa; Chordata; Actinopteri; Salmoniformes; Salmonidae
Description: lncRNA (ENSSSAG00000097774.1)
Source: RNAcentral